This 109-nucleotide small RNA is filed under the name Xanthobacter tagetidis. RNAcentral's name for it is "EcpR1". It matches the Rfam family "EcpR1". From Rfam's summary of the family: Perviously named SmelC291, SmrC10, or Sra33. The record is from Rfam by way of RNAcentral. Lineage: Bacteria; Pseudomonadati; Pseudomonadota; Alphaproteobacteria; Hyphomicrobiales; Xanthobacteraceae.
CAACCCUGCGGAGUGCUCAGGUCCGCCGCAUCUCCUGGGUCCGUGGGGUUUGGCCGGUGGGUGAGCGUGUUCGGGAGGCCUCCCCGUUCGCUCCCCACCGGCCAGCCAC